Molecule: non-coding RNA, 28 nt
Filed under: Homo sapiens (human)
Lineage: Eukaryota; Metazoa; Chordata; Mammalia; Primates; Hominidae
Source: RNAcentral
UGGUGGGAGCCUCCUCCGUUGUCUCUGC